GACAGAGGAUGCAAGCGUUAUCCAGAAUGAUUAGGCGUAAAGCGCCUGUAGGUGGCUUUUUAAGUCCGCCGUUAAAUCCUAGGGCUCAACCCUGGACAGGCGGUGGAAACUACCAAGCUGGAGUACGGUAGGGGUAGAGGGAAUUUCCGGUGGAGCGGUGAAAUGCGUAGAGAUCGGAAAGAACACCAACGGCGAAAGCACUCUGCUGGGCCGACACUGACACUAAGAGACGAAAGCUAGGGGAACGAAUGGG
RNAcentral lists this ribosomal RNA (253 nucleotides) under uncultured bacterium. Its description in RNAcentral is "partial 16S ribosomal RNA". It matches the Rfam family "Bacterial small subunit ribosomal RNA", at positions 524 to 776 of the family's 1533-position model. The record is from RNAcentral.